AUCAUGGCAACAAGUCAUUUCUAAAGAGCACUAAGGCUUAAGAAGCACUUCUCUGUGAGGUAUUGAGUGUCAAUUCAUUAUCCCCACUUUGCAGAUGACAAUACUGAUCCUCUGAGCUAGAGAUUGACUGACUUUCUUAAGGUCAGGCUACAGUGAGUAAAUCUGCAGUAGGCAACACAAAUGAGAUGGGUUGGAGACAGAAUAGAGAAGGAGGAGGAGGAAGAGGAGGAGAGCUGUCUGGCUUGUGUUUGGGAAGAAGCAGCGUCCUAUCAAUGACCCCAAACUCUCUAACUUCCAGGCUCAUCUCUUUUCUACUAAUCUUCUUCUGGUGAUAUUUCACUUUGACUCAUGGGAAACCAGUCUCUGAAGAAAUGAAGUUGAGAAUCACUUAAAGACCAAAGGGAAAAAGGCUGUGAUGAAUUGUAAAGAAGUAAUUAACCAGGAGAACCUUCAUGUCUGGAAUGUUCUCCCUCCUCAUCUCAGCCUCCUAGCAUCCUUCAGGUCCCAGCUCUACCUACUGUCCCACCUCAGCUCAUCUGAAGCUCAAACCCUGGAAAGAGUGGAAAACAUGGAGCUUCUUCAGCUGGUCCAGAGGCCCAGAGGGGACUUUUUCACCCCAGGUCACUGUCUCAGUGGUUAAAUAAAUUUAUUUAGGUUCUCUGCACACAGCUCCAACUCUCAUUAAUGGGCAUGAAGAACAAAUUCUGGGCUGGUGUGUGUUGGGGAGAACUUGAGAAGACGCUGCCAAAAGAAGAAGAGGAGAAGGGGGUGAAUGUCAAUGGUGCCACAAAAACCUUAGAGACCAAAGGAAAUUUUAGACGUCCUGGUCAGCUCUUGUCAAUGGGAUCUUCUCAAUGUCUUACUCCGAUAGUGCAAAGGAAUGAAGUAAUUAAAUGGUAAACUCCUCCCUGUAAGGACCACAAGUGUCCUUUGAAACCACAGCAUGUGGACUGAGAAGGGCUGAGUCCUUCAUCUCAGCUGAUACUAACACCACGUUAGGAAAGGAAAAAACAAAAACCUAAACAAAAAUUCUCAGUAGGACUUGGAGGUGGGUUUCUUAUUAUUGCCUCUCCAAGGCAUCUAGCAUCACCCACAUGUUGAAUCCAUUGAGUCAACAGUCAGUCAAUAAAUAUUGAUUAAGAGCCUACUAUGUGCCA
This 1157-nucleotide long non-coding RNA is filed under the name Vombatus ursinus (common wombat). Its description in RNAcentral is "lncRNA (ENSVURG00010023734.1)". The record is from RNAcentral. Lineage: Eukaryota; Metazoa; Chordata; Mammalia; Diprotodontia; Vombatidae.